Molecule: ribosomal RNA, 468 nt
Filed under: uncultured bacterium
Lineage: Bacteria
Description: partial 16S ribosomal RNA
Rfam family: Bacterial small subunit ribosomal RNA
Source: RNAcentral
GACGGACGCUGGCGGCGUGCUUAACACAUGCAAGUCGAACGGAAAGGCCCUGCUUUUGUGGGGUGCUCGAGUGGCGAACGGGUGAGUAACACGUGAGUAACCUGCCCUUGACUUUGGGAUAACUUCAGGAAACUGGGGCUAAUACCGGAUAGGAGCUCCUGCUGCAUGGUGGGGGUUGGAAAGUUUCGGCGGUUGGGGAUGGACUCGCGGCUUAUCAGCUUGUUGGUGGGGUAGUGGCUUACCAAGGCUUUGACGGGUAGCCGGCCUGAGAGGGUGACCGGCCACAUUGGGACUGAGAUACGGCGCAGACUCCUACGGGAGGCAGCAGUGGGGAAUAUUGCACAAUGGGCGGAAGCCUGAUGCAGCAACGCCGCGUGCGGGAUGACGGCCUUCGGGUUGUAAACCGCUUUCGCCUGUGACGAAGCGUGAGUGACGGUAAUGGGUAAAGAAGCACCGGCUAACUACGUG